Paramuricea clavata is the source of this 619-nucleotide non-coding RNA. The record is from the annotation of a GenBank genome assembly. Lineage: Eukaryota; Metazoa; Cnidaria; Anthozoa; Malacalcyonacea; Plexauridae.
GCCCUGGGUCCCCAUCUUAAUAGGGCCCCCACCUUAAUAGGGCCCCAACUUGAGAGCAAGAGCCUAAAAUUGAGUAGGUUCUAUAAAGAACAUUUUUGAAAUUGAGGGCUACUUACAGUACCUCCACAUGCAGUCUAGCUACUAAGGUUUAGUUGGGUCUAGCUUAAAAAUAAUGUCAUGGGGUGCCCAGGGAAGGUUUGCCUCGGGUCCCGCAAAUUCUCUAGGCGGCCCUGUGUACAGUAUAGCUAGCUAUAUUAAUUAUAUAUAUACAACAACAACAACAUAUGUAUAUAUCUACAUUGACUAAAAUCACUUCAUUAGACAGUACGGUAUAGUAACAACUAAAUUCAGUUUUAAGAGUUUCUUCUGCCCUAAUAACUAUUGCUUUAGGCAACAUUCCCACGACAAUGCAUUUGGACCCAGUAACAUGCAGACCACUGCAGAUAAACCAGUCUCACAGCAGCGAUGUAAUACAUCAAACAGUUUAUCUUCACAAAACAUUACAUGUUACUGAUUAUAUACCUUCUUGUAUAGCUGUGCUACUGUCAAUCUCCUUUACCAGGUAGUCUGAACCUUCUAUGGUUAAACCCGGUUCUUUUGUGUUUGAUCUACUACAGCA